This 460-nucleotide ribosomal RNA is filed under the name uncultured bacterium. RNAcentral's name for it is "partial 16S ribosomal RNA". It matches the Rfam family "Bacterial small subunit ribosomal RNA", at positions 338 to 795 of the family's 1533-position model. The record is from RNAcentral.
CCUACGUGUGACAGCAGUGAGGAAUAUUGGUCAAUGGGCGCGAGCCUGAACCAGCCAAGUAGCGUGAAGGAUGACUGCCCUACGGGUUGUAAACUUCUUUUAUAAAGGAAUAAAGUGAGGCACGUGUGCCUUUUUGUAUGUACUUUAUGAAUAAGGAUCGGCUAACUCCGUGCCAGCAGCCGCGGUAAUACGGAGGAUCCGAGCGUUAUCCGGAUUUAUUGGGUUUAAAGGGAGCGUAGAUGGGUUUUUAAGUCAGUUGUGAAAGUUUGCGGCUCAAACGUAAAAUUGCAAUUGAUACUGGCAGUCUUGAGUACAGUUGAGGUAGGCGGAAUUCGUGGUGUAGCGGUGAAAUGCUUAGAUAUCACGAAGAACUCCGAUUGCGAAGGCAGCUUACUAAACUGCCACUGACAUUGAUGCUCGAAAGUGUGGGUAUCAAACAGGAUUAGAUACCCUAGUAGUC